This 157-nucleotide ribosomal RNA is filed under the name uncultured fungus. RNAcentral describes it as "5.8S ribosomal RNA". It matches the Rfam family "5.8S ribosomal RNA". Rfam says of the family: 5.8S ribosomal RNA (5.8S rRNA) is a component of the large subunit of the eukaryotic ribosome. It is transcribed by RNA polymerase I as part of the 45S precursor that also contains 18S and 28S rRNA. Lineage: Eukaryota; Fungi. The record is from RNAcentral.
AAACUUUCAACAACGGAUCUCUUGGUUCUCGCAUCGAUGAAGAGCGCAGCGAAAUGCGAUACCUAGUGUGAAUUGCAGCCAUCGUGAAUCAUCGAGUUCUUGAACGCACAUUGCGCCCGUCGGCAUUCCGGCGGGCAUGCCUGUUUGAGCGUCGUUU